This 445-nucleotide ribosomal RNA is filed under the name uncultured bacterium. Its description in RNAcentral is "partial 16S ribosomal RNA". It matches the Rfam family "Bacterial small subunit ribosomal RNA", at positions 354 to 796 of the family's 1533-position model. The record is from RNAcentral.
GUGAGGAAUAUUGGUCAAUGGGCGGGAGCCUGAACCAGCCAAGUCGCGUGAAGGAAGAAGGAUCUAUGGUUCGUAAACUUCUUUUGCAGGGGAAUAAAGUGCAGGACGUGUCCUGUUUUGUAUGUACCCUGAGAAUAAGGAUCGGCUAACUCCGUGCCAGCAGCCGCGGUAAUACGGAGGAUCCGAGCGUUAUCCGGAUUUAUUGGGUUUAAAGGGUGCGUAGGUGGUUUGAUAAGUCAGCGGUGAAAGUUUGCAGCUUAACUGUAAAAAUGCCGAUGGAACUGUCGGACUUGAGUGUAAAUGAGGUAGGCGGAAUGCGUGGUGUAGCGGUGAAAUGCAUAGAUAUCACGCAGAACUCCGAUUGCGAAGGCAGCUUACUAAGCUACAACUGACACUGAAGCACGAAAGCGUGGGGAUCAAACAGGAUUAGAAACCCUUGUAGUCC